UGUCCUCUUUUACUGGUUUGUUCAUGGAAAAUAAAGUGUUUCUUGAAAGAUUAAGUUGUAGUGCUUGUAUGCAACGAUAUAACGACUUAAUCGCAUGAAAACGUGCGAAGAAUUUUUAUUUACAAAUGGGCGACAAGUGGAAAUGUUUCACUCAUUGUCAGAGUUUCAGAAGCAGGGUACAGCAGUAUGGAAACAAGGAAGUGUUCAUAUUUUGCUCUUGAUAGAAGCUGAGUUGUUGUUGUUUCCACAGGUAUGUUCAAUAAUUUGUUUGUCCUUCCUCAUCUGGAAUAAUAAGUGUCUUAAAAUACAUAUUUUGAUGAAAAUGACACAUAUUCCUCUUGCAAUUUCGUAGAAACUGGCCGUUGCCUUCAGUUAGAAAAUAUAUUUUAUGAAAGUUAAAUCAUACUUUGUUUUAUUAAAACCUGAGCUAUUCAUGGGAAAAAUGUGCUAGAUGUUGUAAUUGACAAAUCCACUUGUGAAGUGAAAAUGUCAUGUUGUCACAUGCUUAUGAAAUUGCUCCUGUAUUGGUUUGUUAUAAAGUAAAAAUUGCUGCAAAAAUGCUUUUGAAAAUGUUCAAGUAUUGGUUGUUAUGAGAUAGGAAAUGCCGCAUUGAUUUGUUCAGUUUUAAGAGUCUAACGGCAAUCCUGAAUAUAGGCAUGCUUGCUUUGUGAAAUUCUGUGGUGAUAUGGCAUAUAAAUAAAAAUAUCUUAAAAUUUUUACCAUUGCCUCUCUCCGAAAUAUGGCUUAAAACUAUCCUUAUUAGUCAACCUUCAUGGAAAAGUUAGUGGGUAUGCUGGGAAAAAUGCGCGCGGCACUUUUUUUGGACACUGAAGAUGGUAACAUUUGAUGUUGUCAUAUAUUGCCAUCCUCUUAUCAUAGCAUAACUUAACUUAUUUUAGUGAGUUUGUUAAAGCAUUGUGCUCACUAUAUGCCUGUAGUAUCUAAGACUUUUUCAUAGCAUUAUAUGACAAAUUUAAGUUCUGUUUUCUUUUAUUUUUAGGUGAUAGUAUCUGUUCACUUGAGUGUUGGUAUCAAAUUUUGGACAAGUUUCAAUUAUUAUUUCACAUUCCUUUAUUCAAAUAUCCAAAUAAAUGGAAUAUGACAUCAAACUGGACGACUAGAUUCUGUUUCCAAAC
RNAcentral lists this long non-coding RNA (1136 nucleotides) under Paramuricea clavata. The record is from RNAcentral. Lineage: Eukaryota; Metazoa; Cnidaria; Anthozoa; Malacalcyonacea; Plexauridae.